UACGUAGGGUGCAAGCGUUGUCCGGAAUUAUUGGGCGUAAAGAGCUCGUAGGCGGUUUGUCGCGUCUGCUGUGAAAUCCCGAGGCUCAACCUCGGGCCUGCAGUGGGUACGGGCAGACUAGAGUGCGGUAGGGGAGAUUGGAAUUCCUGGUGUAGCGGUGGAAUGCGCAGAUAUCAGGAGGAACACCAAUGGCGAAGGCAGAUCUCUGGGCCGUAACUGACGCUGAGGAGCGAAAGCAUGGGGGAGCGAACAGG
This 254-nucleotide ribosomal RNA is filed under the name uncultured bacterium. RNAcentral describes it as "partial 16S ribosomal RNA". It matches the Rfam family "Bacterial small subunit ribosomal RNA", at positions 524 to 776 of the family's 1533-position model. The record is from RNAcentral.